Molecule: ribosomal RNA, 230 nt
Filed under: uncultured bacterium
Lineage: Bacteria
Description: partial 16S ribosomal RNA
Rfam family: Bacterial small subunit ribosomal RNA
Source: RNAcentral
UGAGCAAUCUGCCCUUCUCAUCGGAAUAAGCGUUGGAAACGACGUCUAAUGCCGAAUACGACCUCCUUUCGCAUGAUCGGAGGUGGAAAGCUCCGGCUGAGAAGGAUGAGCUCGCGGCCUAUCAGCUAGUUGGUGUGGGUAAUGGCCCACCAAGGCGACGACGGGUAGCCGGCCUGAGAGGGUGACCGGCCACACUGGGACUGAGACACGGCCCAGACUCCGUAGGGAGG